Molecule: ribosomal RNA, 253 nt
Filed under: uncultured bacterium
Lineage: Bacteria
Description: partial 16S ribosomal RNA
Rfam family: Bacterial small subunit ribosomal RNA
Source: RNAcentral
UACAGAGGUCCCGAGCGUUGUUCGGAUUCACUGGGCGUAAAGGGUGCGUAGGCGGCGCGGUAAGUCGGGUGUGAAAUCUCGGGGCUUAACUCCGAAACUGCAUUCGAUACUGCCGUGCUUGAGGACUGGAGAGGAGACUGGAAUUUACGGUGUAGCGGUGAAAUGCGUAGAUAUCGUAAGGAAGACCAGUGGCGAAGGCGGGUCUCUGGACAGUUCCUGACGCUGAGGCACGAAGGCCAGGGGAGCAAACGGG